RNAcentral lists this transfer RNA (72 nucleotides) under Levilinea saccharolytica. It matches the Rfam family "tRNA". Rfam says of the family: Transfer RNA (tRNA) molecules are approximately 80 nucleotides in length. Their secondary structure includes four short double-helical elements and three loops (D, anti-codon, and T loops). Further hydrogen bonds mediate the characteristic L-shaped molecular structure. tRNAs have two regions of fundamental functional importance: the anti-codon, which is responsible for specific mRNA codon recognition, and the 3' end, to which the tRNAs corresponding amino acid is attached (by aminoacyl-tRNA synthetases). tRNAs cope with the degeneracy of the genetic code in two manners: having more than one tRNA (with a specific anti-codon) for a particular amino acid; and 'wobble' base-pairing, i.e. permitting non-standard base-pairing at the 3rd anti-codon position. Lineage: Bacteria; Bacillati; Chloroflexota; Anaerolineae; Anaerolineales; Anaerolineaceae. The record is from Rfam by way of RNAcentral.
GCGCCCGUAGUGAAGUGGACAUCACGUUGCCCUCCGGAGGCAGAAGCCCGAGUUCGAGUCUCGGCGGGCGCG